Molecule: long non-coding RNA, 496 nt
Filed under: Zostera marina
Lineage: Eukaryota; Viridiplantae; Streptophyta; Magnoliopsida; Alismatales; Zosteraceae
Description: long non-coding RNA (ZMAR_LNC001470)
Source: RNAcentral
UUUCCCCUCUCAUUUCCUUCAAUCUUGUUUCCCCCAAUCUCCCUUCUCAACAACCAACGGCGAUUCCAGUGUCACUUGGAUUAGAAAUUUGGUAACACUUCCUUCCAGAGGCGAUUCCAGUGUCACUCGGCCAAUGUCAACUUGCCGCAACAGUUGACGGAGGUUCUACCCUCUCGCUGUUCAUUUCACACAGCUACGUAGGUAUGUCUAUUCUUCAUGUCUCCAAAUCUACUUUCUAUUCCAAGUACGUUAUUGGAUUUAGGUUGUUUUCAUAUGCUGAUCGAUCGUAUAGUAGAUGGUAUUUAAAAUCCAAUGUGGUCGGGGAGCCGAUUCCUCCGGUCCCAACGCUGGUCUGUCAUCUCUCUUCCGCAAUUCUUUUCUUCAUCCCUAUCAUCUUCGAUGCCGUAUUCCUCCGCGGUUCUUCUCAAUUCCAGUACCACCGAUUUUGUUUGUUCUCGUUCUGUUUUUACUCCGUGUUAAUCAAGAUUAUCAACAG